GCAGUCGAGCGGCAGCACAAGGGAGUUUACUCCUGAGGUGGCGAGCGGCGGACGGGUGAGUAAUGCCUAGGGAUCUGCCCAGUCGUGGGGGAUAACAGUUGGAAACGACUGCUAAUACCGCAUACGCCCUACGGGGGAAAGGAGGGGACCUUCGGGCCUUCCGCGAUUGGAUGAACCUAGGUGGGAUUAGCUAGUUGGUGAGGUAAUGGCUCACCAAGGCGACGAUCCCUAGCUGUUCUGAGAGGAUGAUCAGCCACACUGGGACUGAGACACGGCCCAGACUCCUACGGGAGGCAGCAGUGGGGAAUAUUGCACAAUGGGGGAAACCCUGAUGCAGCCAUGCCGCGUGUGUGAAGAAGGCCUUCGGGUUGUAAAGCACUUUCACUACAGAAGAAAGAAGAGGAGCUAAUUCGGCAGCUGACGUACUACAGAGAAGGACCGCUAUCAGUGCCAGCAGCGCGUAUACGAGGGUCAGCGUAAUCGAUACUGGCGUAAGCGUGCGCAGCGUUGUUAGCGAGAUGUGAAGCCCCGGCUCAACCUGGGAAUGCAUUCGAACUGGCAACUAGAGUCUGUAGAGGGGGGUAGAAUUCCAGUGUAGCGGUGAAUGCGUAGAGAUCUGGAGGAAUACCGGUGGCGAAGGCGG
RNAcentral lists this ribosomal RNA (643 nucleotides) under Shewanella sp. AT-BI-30. RNAcentral's name for it is "bacterial SSU rRNA". It matches the Rfam family "Bacterial small subunit ribosomal RNA", at positions 57 to 724 of the family's 1533-position model. The record is from RNAcentral. Lineage: Bacteria; Pseudomonadati; Pseudomonadota; Gammaproteobacteria; Alteromonadales; Shewanellaceae.